This 677-nucleotide long non-coding RNA is filed under the name Mytilus galloprovincialis (Mediterranean mussel). The record is from RNAcentral. Lineage: Eukaryota; Metazoa; Mollusca; Bivalvia; Mytilida; Mytilidae.
UUGCUCAAAUGUUAUGGGUAUUUAUUAUUUGUAUGAAUAGUAUUAGAAUUAUUCUAUAAAAACUGACUUCGUAUGAACAAUUAUGUACAGUAUAUGUUAUAUGUUUCCUAAUAGAUACAAAGUUUUUAUCAUUGCCUGAUAAUUUUGUCACUCUUUUUAUUGACAAACUGGUUUGUUGAAAUUCAAUCACUAUUGUUGUAAAAAUCAAGUCAUUUUUGGCAAUACCAAUCAAGUGUUAGUUUAAAAAUCAGUCUCAUAAUGAAAACUUUACUUUCAUACUUUUAACAAACAUUAUUUGUGUAAAACAAAUUACUCAGACUGACUGAAAAACUGAUAAAAUAAUGACGUUUUCAACUCUUAUGGGAUAAAGGGACAUAACUCAAUGUGAAUUUACUCUGAUUAUCUCAAAAAUAUCAUAUUCCUAUAUAGGUGCAAUAAUAUUUUCUAUUUAUUUUAUGAAAUAAAUAAACAUGUCCAUAGUUAUUUUUAGUACCAAUUUAUUUAUAUUUUUUCUACAAUUUUUUUUAUAACAACUAUAUAUUAUUGUGUAAAUCUGUUUUGUGAUAUUAAUUGUCUGUGAUUUUCUUGUAUUUUUUGUUUUAUUUUUAUACACACAUUCAGUAGAGUAAUUUGCUUACCUGUAAAUGUUUUGCGACAUACACAUUAUAUUAUUAAAA